GUCUCAGUUCGGACUGUGGUCUGCAACCCGACCACACGAAGCUGGAAUCGCUAGUAAUCGCGAAUCAGAAUGUCGCGGUGAAUACGUUCCCGGGUCUUGUACACACCGCCCGUCAAACCAUGAGAGUUGGCAACACCCGAAGUCGGUAGUCUAACUGCAAGGAGGACGCCGCCGAAGGUGGGGUUGAUGAUUAGGGUUAAGUCGUAACAAGGUAUC
This 216-nucleotide ribosomal RNA is filed under the name uncultured bacterium. Its description in RNAcentral is "partial 16S ribosomal RNA". It matches the Rfam family "Bacterial small subunit ribosomal RNA", at positions 1285 to 1500 of the family's 1533-position model. The record is from RNAcentral.